RNAcentral lists this ribosomal RNA (766 nucleotides) under Pantoea sp. Morm. RNAcentral describes it as "partial 23S ribosomal RNA". It matches the Rfam family "Bacterial large subunit ribosomal RNA", at positions 444 to 1212 of the family's 2925-position model. The record is from RNAcentral. Lineage: Bacteria; Pseudomonadati; Pseudomonadota; Gammaproteobacteria; Enterobacterales; Erwiniaceae.
AUGGGGGGACCAUCCUCCAAGGCUAAAUACUCCUGACUGACCGAUAGUGAACCAGUACCGUGAGGGAAAGGCGAAAAGAACCCCGGCGAGGGGAGUGAAACAGAACCUGAAACCGUGUACGUACAAGCAGUGGGAGCCUACUUGUUAGGUGACUGCGUACCUUUUGUAUAAUGGGUCAGCGACUUAUAUUCUGUAGCAAGGUUAACCGCAUAGGGGAGCCGAAGGGAAACCGAGUCUUAAUUGGGCGUUAAGUUGCAGGGUAUAGACCCGAAACCCGGUGAUCUAGCCAUGGGCAGGUUGAAGGUUGGGUAACACUAACUGGAGGACCGAACCGACUAAUGUUGAAAAAUUAGCGGAUGACUUGUGGCUGGGGGUGAAAGGCCAAUCAAACCGGGAGAUAGCUGGUUCUCCCCGAAAGCUAUUUAGGUAGCGCCUCGUGAACUCAUCUCCGGGGGUAGAGCACUGUUUCGGCUAGGGGGCCAUCCCGGCUUACCAACCCGAUGCAAACUGCGAAUACCGGAGAAUGUUAUCACGGGAGACACACGGCGGGUGCUAACGUCCGUCGUGAAGAGGGAAACAACCCAGACCGCCAGCUAAGGUCCCAAAGUCAUGGUUAAGUGGGAAACGAUGUGGGAAGGCACAGACAGCCAGGAUGUUGGCUUAGAAGCAGCCAUCAUUUAAAGAAAGCGUAAUAGCUCACUGGUCGAGUCGGCCUGCGCGGAAGAUGUAACGGGGCUAAACCAUGCACCGAAGCUGCGGCAGCGAC